Molecule: ribosomal RNA, 515 nt
Filed under: uncultured bacterium
Lineage: Bacteria
Description: bacterial SSU rRNA
Rfam family: Bacterial small subunit ribosomal RNA
Source: RNAcentral
GACGAACGCUGGCGGCGUGCCUAAUACAUGCAAGUCGAGCGAACCUCUAAAAGCUUGCUUUUAAAGGUUAGCGGCGGACGGGUGAGUAACACGUGGGCAACCUGCCUGUAAGACUGGGAUAACUUCGGGAAACCGGAGCUAAUACCGGAUGAUCUGUUCCCUCGCAUGAGGGAAUUCUGAAAGACGGCGCAAGCUGUCACUUACAGAUGGGCCCGCGGCGCAUUAGCUAGUUGGUGAGGUAACGGCUCACCAAGGCGACGAUGCGUAGCCGACCUGAGAGGGUGAUCGGCCACACUGGGACUGAGACACGGCCCAGACUCCUACGGGAGGCAGCAGUAGGGAAUCUUCCGCAAUGGACGAAAGUCUGACGGAGCAACGCCGCGUGAGCGAAGAAGGCCUUCGGGUCGUAAAGCUCUGUUGUCAGGGAAGAACAAGUACCGGAGUAACUGCCGGUACCUUGACGGUACCUGACCAGAAAGCCACGGCUAACUACGUGCCAGCAGCCGCAGUAAUAC